RNAcentral lists this ribosomal RNA (582 nucleotides) under Scheffersomyces shehatae. RNAcentral describes it as "eukaryotic LSU rRNA". It matches the Rfam family "Eukaryotic large subunit ribosomal RNA", at positions 52 to 652 of the family's 3401-position model. The record is from RNAcentral. Lineage: Eukaryota; Fungi; Ascomycota; Pichiomycetes; Serinales; Debaryomycetaceae.
GGAGGAAAAGAAACCAACAGGGAUUGUCUUAGUAACGGCGAGUGAAGCGACAAAAGCUCAAAUUUGAAAUCUGGCACCUUCGGUGUCCGAGUUGUAAUUUGAAGAAGGUAACUUUGGAGUUGGCUCUUGUCUAUGUUCCUUGGAACAGGACGUCACAGAGGGUGAGAAUCCCGUGCGAUGAGAUGUCCAACUCUAUGUAAAGUGCUUUCGAAGAGUCGAGUUGUUUGGGAAUGCAGCUCUAAGUGGGUGGUAAAUUCCAUCUAAAGCUAAAUAUUGGCGAGAGACCGAUAGCGAACAAGUACAGUGAUGGAAAGAUGAAAAGAACUUUGAAAAGAGAGUGAAAAAGUACGUGAAAUUGUUGAAAGGGAAGGGUUUGAGAUCAGACUUGGUAUUUUGUAUGUCUUGCUUUCGGGUGGGGCCUCUGCAGUUUACUGGGCCAGCAUCGGUUUGGACGGUAGGAUAAUGACAUUGGAAUGUGGCACUACUUCGGUGGUGUGUUAUAGACUUCGUUGAUACUGCCUGUCUAGACCGAGGACUGCGUCUUUGACUAGGAUGCUGGCAUAAUGAUCCUAAACCGCCCGU